Molecule: ribosomal RNA, 253 nt
Filed under: uncultured bacterium
Lineage: Bacteria
Description: partial 16S ribosomal RNA
Rfam family: Bacterial small subunit ribosomal RNA
Source: RNAcentral
UACAGAGGUCUCAAGCGUUGUUCGGAUUCAUUGGGCGUAAAGGGUGUGUAGGUGGCGCCGUAAGUCGGGUGUGAAAUUUCGGAGCUUAACUCCGAAACUGCAUUCGAUACUGCGGUGCUUGAGGACUGGAGAGGAGACUGGAAUUCCCAGUGUAGCGGUGAAAUGCGUAGAUAUUGGGAGGAACACCAGUGGCGAAGGCGGCCUUCUGGUCCAGUACUGACACUCAAGUGCGAAAGCGUGGGGAGCAAACAGG